This 484-nucleotide ribosomal RNA is filed under the name uncultured bacterium. Its description in RNAcentral is "partial 16S ribosomal RNA". It matches the Rfam family "Bacterial small subunit ribosomal RNA", at positions 30 to 523 of the family's 1533-position model. The record is from RNAcentral.
AUUGAACGCUGGCGGCGUGCUUAACACAUGCACGUCGAACGGUGAAAGCGGAGCUUGCUCCGCUGGAUCAGUGGCGAACGGGUGAGUAACACGUGGGCAACCUGCGCCUCACUUCGGGAUAACUCCGGGAAACCGGGGCUAAUACCGGAUAUGACCUCCUUGGGCAUCUUCUGUAGGUGGAAAGAAUUUCGGUUCGGGAUGGACUCGCGACCUAUCAGCUAGUUGGGGAGGUAAUGGCUCACCAAGGCGAGGAAGGGUAGCCGGCCUGAGAGGGUGACCGGCCACACUGGGACUGAGACACGGCCCAGACUCCUACGGGAGGCAGCAGUGGGGAAUAUUGCACAAUGGGCGCAAGCCUGAUGCAGCAACGCCGUGUGAGGGAUGACGGCCUUCGGGUUGUAAACCUCUUUUAGUAGGGAAGAAGCGAAAGUGACGGUACCUGCAGAAAAAGCACCGGCUAACUACGUGCCAGCAGCCGCCGUAA